Molecule: small nucleolar RNA, 134 nt
Organism: Cuculus canorus (common cuckoo)
Lineage: Eukaryota; Metazoa; Chordata; Aves; Cuculiformes; Cuculidae
Product: small nucleolar RNA SNORA58
Exons: 1
Source: RefSeq, a predicted model, not a curated record
CUGCAUACCAGUAGACCUUACCUGGUUCUUCCCAUAGCCAGGCGAGGGGGACGGUGCAUGCUACAGAACCAGGGCUGGCUGCAGGCUGUGGUCAGCCUCAGUGUGGCCGAUUGAAUUGCAGCACGCUGACAUUU